RNAcentral lists this ribosomal RNA (497 nucleotides) under uncultured bacterium. RNAcentral describes it as "partial 16S ribosomal RNA". It matches the Rfam family "Bacterial small subunit ribosomal RNA", at positions 28 to 507 of the family's 1533-position model. The record is from RNAcentral.
GAUGAACGCUGGCGGCGUGCCUAAUACAUGCAAGUCGAGCGAACAGACGAGGAGCUUGUUCCUCUGACGUUAGCGGCGGACGGGUGAGUAACACGUGGAUAACCUACCUAUAAGACUGGGAUAACUACGGGAAACAGGAGCUAAUACCGGAUAAUAUAUUGAACCGCAUGGUUCAAUAGUGAAAGACGGUUUUGCUGUCUCUUAUAGAUGGUUCCGCGCUGGAUUAGCUAGUUGGUAAGGGAACGGCUUACCAAGGCGACGAUGCGUAGCCGACCUGAGAGGAGGAUAGGCCGAAGUAGAGAGGGGACAGGGUCCAGAGUCCUCAGGGAGGCAGCAGUGGGGAAUGGUAGGCAAUGGGCGCGAACAUGAUCCAGCCAUAGCGAGUGGGUGAAAAAGGCCUUCGGGUUGUAAAGCCCUUUGGUUGGGAAAGAAAAGCAGCAGGUUAAUACCCAGCUGUUCUGACGGUACCCAAUAAAUAAGCAACGGCUAACUUCGUG